ACCCCGCCCUGGAGCAGCUCUGGAACAAGGGCAUCCCCCUCCUGGUGGAGCACCUGGAAGGUGAGGAAGGGAGGGGCUUCUCCUGGGGUCACCUUCUCCAAAAUCAGAGAAUCAGAGAGUCAGAGAAUCAUGGAAUCAGAGAAUCAGAGAAUCACAGAAUCACAGAAUCACAGAGUCACAGAAUCACAGAGUCACAGAAUCACAGAAUCAGAGAAUCACAGAAUCAGAGAAUCACAGUCAUAGAAUCAGAGAUCACAGAGAUCACAGAAUCACAGAAUCACGGAAUCACAGAAUCACAGACUCAGAGAAUCACAGACUCACAGACUCAGACUCACAGAAUCACAGAAUCAGAGAAUCACAGACUCACAGACUCACAGAAUCACAGAACACAGAAUUACAGAAUCAUAGAAUCAUAGAAUCAUAGAAUCACAGAACACAGAAUUACAGAAUCACAGAAUCACAGUCAGAGAAUCACAGAAUCACAGACUCACAGAAUCACAGAAUCAGUCACAGUCACAGAAUCACAGAAUCACAGUCAGAGAAUCAGAGAAUCAGAGAAUCACAGUCAUAGAAUCACAGAAUCAGUCAAUCACAGAAUCAGAGAAUCACAGUCAUAGAAUCACAGUCAGAGAAUCACAGAAUCAGGGAAUCAGAGAAUCACAGAAUCACAGAAUCAGAGAAUCACAGAAUCAGAGAAUCACAGAAUCACAAAAUCACAGAAUCAGAGAAUCACAGACUCACAGAAUCAUAGAAUCACAGUCACAGAAUCAGAGAAUCAGAGAAUCACAGUCAUAGAAUCACAGACUCACAGACACAGUCAUAGAAUCACAGAAUCACAGUCAUGGAAUCAGAGAAUCACAGAAUUACAGACUCACAGAAUUACAGAGUCACAGAAUUACAGAGUCACAGACUCACGGAAUCACAGAAUCAGAGAAUCACAGUCAUAGAAUCACAGAAUUAGAGAAUCAGUAUCACAGAAUCAGAGAAUCACAGAAUCAGAGAAUCACAGAAUCAGUCACAGAAUCAUAGAAUCACAGAAUCACAGUCAUAGAAUCAGAGAAUCAGAGAAUCAGUCACAGAGUCACAGAAUCAUAGAAUCACAGUAAUAGAAUCACAGAAUCAGA
Molecule: long non-coding RNA, 1124 nt
Filed under: Manacus vitellinus (golden-collared manakin)
Lineage: Eukaryota; Metazoa; Chordata; Aves; Passeriformes; Pipridae
Description: lncRNA (ENSMVIG00005001752.1)
Source: RNAcentral